RNAcentral lists this ribosomal RNA (279 nucleotides) under Triticum aestivum (bread wheat). RNAcentral describes it as "partial small subunit ribosomal RNA". The record is from RNAcentral. Lineage: Eukaryota; Viridiplantae; Streptophyta; Magnoliopsida; Poales; Poaceae.
AUGAAUAUCUUAAGUUGGAACUGCCGGGGAGCGGGGAAUACCUGGACAGUUCGAGAACUCGCGACUCUUUGCCAGUCGCAUUCCCCCACUCUGGUCUUUUUAUGUGAGAUGAGGCAAAAAGAAGAAAAGCUGAGAAGACUAAGGGGUCGUUUGGGUUUGAAAAGAUUUGCUGGAGUGGAUAGUAGUGGUUUGUGUGGUGGUUUGGCACUGUUUUGGCAUGAAUCAUAUGAUGUACAAGUGCUGGACAAGAAUGAACGGUAUAUUGAUGCAUUAGUUUGA